GACGAACGCUGGCGGCGUGCUUAACACAUGCAAGUCGAACGGAAAGGCCUGCUUUCCCUUGUGGAUUGCGGGUACUCGAGUGGCGAACGGGUGAGUAACACGUGAGUGAUCUGCCCCCAACUUGGGUAUAAGCCUGGGAAACUGGGUCUAAUUCCCGAUAGGACUGCAGGGUGGUGCCUGUGGUGGAAAACGAUUUUCUAGUGGUUGGGGAUGAGCUCGCGGCCUAUCAGCUUGUUGGUGGGGUAAUGGCCUACCAAGGCGGCGACGGGUAGCCGGCCUGAGAGGGUGGACGGCCACAUUGGGACUGAGAUACGGCCCAGACUCCUACGGGAGGCAGCAGUGGGGAAUAUUGCACAAUGGGCGGAAGCCUGAUGCAGCGACGCCGCGUGGGGGAUGACGGCCUUCGGGUUGUAAACUCCUUUGGACCGCGAGGAAGCCACCUGGUUGGAAGGGUGGUGACGGUAGUGGUAGAAGAAGCACCGGCUAACUACGUG
RNAcentral lists this ribosomal RNA (494 nucleotides) under uncultured bacterium. RNAcentral describes it as "partial 16S ribosomal RNA". It matches the Rfam family "Bacterial small subunit ribosomal RNA", at positions 28 to 507 of the family's 1533-position model. The record is from RNAcentral.